UUGAUCCUGGCUCAGAAUCAACGCUGGCGGCGUGCCUAACACAUGCAAGUCGAACGAGAAAGUGGAGCAAUCCAUGAGUAAAGUGGCGACCGGGUGAGUUACACGUGACUAACCUACCCUUGAAUGGGGAAUAACCUUCCGAAAGGAGGUCUAAUACCGCAUAAAGUCCUAAGGAUGAAACGCCUAAGGACCAAAGGAGUAAUUCGUUUAAGGAGGGGGUCGCGGUUGAUUAGCUAGUUGGUGGGGUAAUGGCCCACCAAGGCGAUGAUCAAUAGCCGGCCUGAGAGGGCGCACGGCCAUACUGGAACUGAAACACGGUCCAGACUCCUACGGGAGGCAGCAGUGGGGAUUUUUGCGCAAUGGGGGAAACCCUGACGCAGCAACGCCGCGUGGAGGAUGUAGGUCUUUGGAUUGUAAACUCCUUUCGAUCGGGAAGAUAAUGACGGUACUGGAAGAAGAAGCCCCGGCUAACUUCGUGCCAGCAGCCGCU
Molecule: ribosomal RNA, 490 nt
Filed under: uncultured Acidobacteriota bacterium
Lineage: Bacteria; Pseudomonadati; Acidobacteriota
Description: bacterial SSU rRNA
Rfam family: Bacterial small subunit ribosomal RNA
Source: RNAcentral